UACGUAGGGUCCGAGCGUUGUCCGGAAUUAUUGGGCGUAAAGGGCUCGUAGGCGGCCAACUAAGUCAGACGUGAAAUCCCCCGGCUUAACCAGGGAACUGCGUCUGAUACUGGAUGGCUUGAGUUUGGGAGAGGGAUGCGGAAUUCCAGGUGUAGCGGUGAAAUGCGCAGAUAUCAGGAGGAACACCGGUGGCGAAGGCGGUUCUCUGGGCAUUACCUGACGCUGAGGAGCGAAAGUGUGGGGAGCGAACAGG
Molecule: ribosomal RNA, 253 nt
Filed under: uncultured bacterium
Lineage: Bacteria
Description: partial 16S ribosomal RNA
Rfam family: Bacterial small subunit ribosomal RNA
Source: RNAcentral